AAUACUUAGGAAUCUGCCUAUUAGUGGGGGACAACAUUUCGAAAGGAAUGCUAAUACCGCAUACGCCCUACGGGGGAAAGCAGGGGCUCUUCGGACCUUGCGCUAAUAGAUGAGCCUAAGUCAGAUUAGCUAGUUGGUGGGGUAAAGGCCUACCAAGGCGACGAUCUGUAACGGGUCUGAGAGGAUGAUCCGUCACACUGGGACUGAGACACGGCCCAGACUCCUACGGGAGGCAGCAGUGGGGAAUAUUGGACAAUGGGGGAAACCCUGAUCCAGCCAUGCCGCGUGUGUGAAGAAGGCCUUUUGGUUGUAAAGCACUUUAAGCGAGGAGGAGGCUCCUAUAGUUAAUACCUAUAGUGAGUGGACGUUACUCGCAGAAUAAGCACCGGCUAACUCUGUGCCAGCAGCCGCGGUAAUACAGAGGGUGCGAGCGUUAAUCGGAUUUACUGGGCGUAAAGCGUGCGUAGGUGGCCAAUUAAGUCAAAUGUGAAAUCCCUGAGCUUAACUUAGGAAUUGCAUUCGAUACUGGUUGGCUAGAGUAUGGGAGAGGAUGGUAGAAUUCCAGGUGUAGCGGUGAAAUGCGUAGAGAUCUGGAGG
Molecule: ribosomal RNA, 597 nt
Filed under: uncultured bacterium
Lineage: Bacteria
Description: bacterial SSU rRNA
Rfam family: Bacterial small subunit ribosomal RNA
Source: RNAcentral